Molecule: ribosomal RNA, 621 nt
Filed under: uncultured fungus
Lineage: Eukaryota; Fungi
Description: eukaryotic LSU rRNA
Rfam family: Eukaryotic large subunit ribosomal RNA
Source: RNAcentral
CCCGCUGAACUUAAGCAUAUCAAUAAGCGGAGGAAAAGAAACCAACAGGGAUUGCCCCAGUAACGGCGAGUGAAGCGGCAACAGCUCAAAUUUGAAAUCUGGCCUCCUCCGGGGGCCCGAGUUGUAAUUUGCAGAGGAUGCUUCUGGCGCGGCGCCUUCCGAGUUCCCUGGAACGGGACGCCAUAGAGGGUGAGAGCCCCGUCUGGUUGGACGCCUAGCCUCUGUGAAGCACCUUCGACGAGUCGAGUAGUUUGGGAAUGCUGCUCAAAAUGGGAGGUAUAUGUCUUCUAAAGCUAAAUACCGGCCAGAGACCGAUAGCGCACAAGUAGAGUGAUCGAAAGAUGAAAAGCACUUUGAAAAGAGGGUUAAACAGUACGUGAAAUUGUUGAAAGGGAAGCGCUCAUGACCAGACUUGGGCCCCGCGCAUCACCCGGCGUUCUCGCCGGGGCACUUCGCAGGGCCCAGGCCAGCAUCAGUUCGUGGCGGGGGACAAAGGCUUCGGGAACGUGGCUCCCUCGGGAGUGUUAUAGCCCGCUGCGCAAUGCCCUGCCGCGGACUGAGGUUCGCGCUUCCGCAAGGAUGCUGGCGUAAUGGUCAUCAGCGACCCGUCUUGAAACACGG